UGCAUGCUGGUAGCCGUACCUGUACCCGUACCCGCCCAUGGCCGCCAGCACGCCAAUGUGCGACGAUGACCGCCGUAUCAUCUUCCUGGGUGUGCCGCCGCCCUGGCCGCUGCGGCGCCUACUGCUGGGCUGCCACUCCAGUGCCGCCGCAUAGGUGUACUGCCUUGGCACACUCUGGUCGGAUCGGGAGGAGGCGACGCUGGUCAGAUCUAGACGAGGGGAUAGAGUCGGCCAGAUCUAGAGGAGUGAGAUGGUGCAGGCCACAUCUAGGUGGAGGGGCUGCAGCGGAGGAGACGAGAGACACCCGGAACUUGGAGAGGCGAGGAGCCUGGCCCUAGGGUGGGUGCCGACCUGAGUUGUCUAUUCACCAAAUUUUAUAAUUUUUUCAGGUCCGAGAUCCUAUAUCAGUGGGGUUUUUUGGUUUUGUUUAUUUUUCAUGUCCAGAGGACGUGCGCAGGCAAUAAUUCCAUAAUCAAUGGUCUUGUUAAUUUUUCGGUCACGUAGUCAGUGAUGCGGC
Molecule: long non-coding RNA, 517 nt
Filed under: Sorghum bicolor (sorghum)
Lineage: Eukaryota; Viridiplantae; Streptophyta; Magnoliopsida; Poales; Poaceae
Description: long non-coding RNA (SBIC_LNC014902)
Source: RNAcentral